UACGUAGGGACCGAGCGUUGUCCGGAAUCAUUGGGCGUAAAGAGCGUGUAGGCGGCUUGCUAAGUCUUGCGUGAAAUCUCGGGGCUCAACCCCGAGCGGUCGUGGGAAACUGGCAGGCUAGAGUGCGGGAGAGGAGAAUGGAAUUCCUGGUGUAGCGGUGAAAUGCGCAGAUAUCAGGAAGAACACCCGUGGCGAAGGCGGUUCUCUGGAACGCAACUGACGCUGAGACGCGAAAGCGUGGGGAGCGAACAGG
RNAcentral lists this ribosomal RNA (253 nucleotides) under uncultured bacterium. RNAcentral's name for it is "partial 16S ribosomal RNA". It matches the Rfam family "Bacterial small subunit ribosomal RNA", at positions 524 to 776 of the family's 1533-position model. The record is from RNAcentral.